Clupea harengus (Atlantic herring) is the source of this 838-nucleotide long non-coding RNA. The record is from Ensembl. NCBI's taxonomy places the organism in Eukaryota, Metazoa, Chordata, Actinopteri, Clupeiformes, Clupeidae.
UGUGGUGGUGUGUGGUGGGGUGUGGAGGUGGUGUGUGGAGGUGGUGUAGGGGGGUGUGGAGGUGUGUAGUGGUGUGUGGAGGUGGUGUAGUGGUGUGUGGAGGUGGGUGUAGUGGUGUGUGGAGGUGGUGUAGUGGGGUGUGGAGGUGGUGUAGUGGGGUGUGGAGGUGGUGUAGUGGUGUGUGGAGGUGUGUAGUGGUGUGUGGAGGUGGUGUAGUGGUGUGUGGAGGCGUGUGGAGGUGGUGUAGUGGUGUGUGGAGGUGUUGUAGUGGGGUGUGGAGGUGGUGUAGUGGUGUGUGGAGGUGUGUAGUGGGGUGUGGAGGGGGUGUAGUGGUGUGUAGUGGUGUGUGGAGGCGUGUGGAGGUGGUGUAGUGGGGUGUGGAGGUGGUGUAGUGGUGUGUGGAGGUGUGUAGUGGUGUGUGGAGGUGGUGUAGUGGGGUGUGGAGGCGUGUGGAGGUGGUGUAGUGGUGUGUGGAGGCGUGUGGAGGUGGUGUAGUGGUGUGUAGUGGUGUGUGGAGGUGGUGUAGUGGUGUGUGGAGGUGGUGUAGUGGGGUGUGGAGGUGGUGUAGUGGUGUGUGGAGGUGGUGUAGUGGUGUGUGGAGGUGUGUAGUGGUGUGUGGAGGUGGUGUAGUGGUGUGUGGAGGUGGUGUAGUGGUGGUGUGGAGGCGUGUGGAGGUGGUGUAGUGGUGUGUGGAGGCGUGUGGAGGUUGUGUAGUGGGGUGUGGAGGUGGUGUAGUGGUGUGUGGAGGUGGUGUAGUGGUGUGUGGAGGUGGUGUAGUGGUGUGUGGAGGUGUGUGGAGGCGUGUGGAGGUGGUGUAGUGGUGUGUGGUGGUGGUGUG